GAAACAUGAUAACCAUCUUCACCUGUGGAGAUACUGUAGUGUGAAGUGUCCUAUUUGAAGGAACGGUUGGCCCUCUAGAGCUCCUUCCAUCUUUAAAUUCAAUGAAAUUUUAGCAUUUGUUCUAAUUUUUAAAGUAUCUUAUCUCUUUCCCAACUUUUCCACCCUUACCCUUACAUUAACCCAAUUAUUUGUGAAUUUUCUUACUUUUUAGUAUCUGACCAAGAGGAUACCACAAAACCCAAGGUAUCAGCAUGUCAAGUCAAGACUAGACACUGUGAGCAGUUCAGAGUUAAUCACAAGAAAUCAAGAAUUUCGUGGCAUCUCCUGUCUUCACCCAAAUCACCUUCUACUGAGCUCUUCAAAGACUGAUAUCUUCUUCCUGGGUGCCUGAGUGUAUCUUACCAGCUCCCCAGC
RNAcentral lists this long non-coding RNA (414 nucleotides) under Delphinapterus leucas (beluga whale). Its description in RNAcentral is "lncRNA (ENSDLEG00000010454.1)". Lineage: Eukaryota; Metazoa; Chordata; Mammalia; Artiodactyla; Monodontidae. The record is from RNAcentral.